ACAGCUGUGACAGGUGGUGCAUGGUUGUCGUCAGCUCGUGUCGUGAGAUGUUGGGUUAAGUCCCGCAACGAGCGCAACCCUUGAUUCUAGUUGCCAGCAUUNAGUUGGGCACUCUAGAGUGACUGCCGGUGACAAACCGGAGACGUCAAAUCAUCAUGCCCCUUAUGACCUGGGCUACACACGUGCUACAAUGGAUGGUACAGCAGACGCGAGUAGCAAAUCCCAUACAUUCUCAGUUCGGAUUGCAGGCUGCAACUCGCCUGCAUGAAGCCGGAAUCGCUAGUAAUCGCGGAUCAGCAUGCCGCGGUGAAUACGUUCCCGGGUCUUGCAA
Molecule: ribosomal RNA, 331 nt
Filed under: uncultured Terribacillus sp.
Lineage: Bacteria; Bacillati; Bacillota; Bacilli; Caryophanales; Bacillaceae
Description: bacterial SSU rRNA
Rfam family: Bacterial small subunit ribosomal RNA
Source: RNAcentral